ACUAAACCUAAUGUAUCUACUUGAUUUUGUUGUUGCAGAUUAAAUGGUUAUCUUAUCUGUACAUAGCUUAUUAGGCAGUAUAGCAGUACCCGCACGUUUAGUAGUUGUUAGAUAGUUUUUGUGCAUAGUUGAACUGUGUAUUGAGAUGGGAAGCCAAGUUGAAAGGCUUGCGGAUUCCAUUUGUCAGACUGGUGGCAUUCCUUAAUUUCUGAUCCCUGGUUAUGAUUUGAUUCUUAUUUAUAUUGUCCUAUGGAAAGAGCAUUAGGAUAGGACAAGCAAACAAGCCUUUCAACAUUCAUGGUGUAUAUUUUGUUUCACCGAGCUGUGUUGCUUAUGAUUUUGAAUUCGAACGGAUCUGCUUCUGUUCACUAAAGAAAUAAAUGCAUGGAUAGAGAAGCUAUGCUCUAAGCUGUUUUCCCUUAGUUUAAAGGAAGGAUUAGUAGUACAUGUAACUGUCUUUUCUUUUCUUGGUAUUCAAACAAGAACAAAUCACUGUUGAUGUUUAAACUCUCUAGAAUCUCAUAAAUUUUAUUAUUCCUCUUAAACUUCUGAUACAAAAUUGGAGUUGUAAAUUAUUUAUUCUGGCACAACCAACUGCUUCUUCUUCUGCCUAGCUUGCUUUCGAUGAAGUAUUCCUGGUGACCUGGUCAAUAGACUGCACUUGCCUAUUCCAAGCACAUACAUGCCUAAGGAUGUCCUGUAAGAAAAGCUUUAACGAAAUCACUUUGGUUUGUAAAUGUCCUUGAGGAUUGAAUUAAUAGAAACUAGCAAUUCUUCUGCCUAAACUGAUUCCUGCAAAUUUUCUUGCCGAACUACUACAUGGUAAUACUCCCUCCAUUCCAUAUUCUAAUGCACAUAGUUUUUUGCCUAGAUUCCAAAAUGUAGUGCGCAUAAGCUGCUUUGGACUAAAGUAGCCCUGGACUGUUCACAGGAACGCAGCAGCAGACACCCACGUGCUGUGACAGAGCGAGCAGUUGGAGGGCAAUUCCUGUCCAAAUGAGAAUGUCAGCUCACGCAUUGGUAUAAACGCUACACACAAAGGCGCAUUAUAAAGUGGAACAGUGGGAGUACUAAAUUCAUAUGUAAUACUAAAUUCCUACAUGUCAUAAAUUAGAUUUUUCGACAAUAAGUACCUAAGUCUAUGUUAUGUUUAAGUUAAAAAACAAUGUCGAUGUGAGCCAUACAUACACCGAUUAAUAAAGCAGUUAGUACUUAAAUUGACCAUCAUUUCCUAUGUGCCUUAGAGGUAAGUUUUCAUCUCCACCAUUGACCCGCUUAAGGUGGCUAUACUGAAGCAGACCCCAUAUAAUUAUGAAUGGUUUAUGAAGUUGAAGGAUGAAACUUGAAUGAACACAAUGUUGAGGUUUGUAAAGUGAAGCCUAAGACAAGUUUGAGGGGGUAAUAUGCACUUCUCUCUAACUAUAUUACCAGAGGACAAUGAGGGCAAGACAGUGACAACGAUGAGUUUCUCCUGGUUCUGUUUUGUUGUAGGUGAAGUUCUUAAUUAUAAUUAUCAAUGCGUUUGUUUUUCCUAAGGAUGCAGUGACAUGCAAGGUGAGGCAAAUUGAAGCAAAACAGCAGGACGGUCGGAAGUGUGCCAUUUUUUCUAUAUAGGUUAGUGAUUUUAUCCUUUUUGUAUUUUUACAUUGCUAGGUACAGUAGUUUAUAUGAAAUGAUUUGUUAGGGCAGGGGGUGGUUCUUCAAUCUUCAGGGAAUCAAGCGGUAGCACCGGAUGCUGACAUGCAUGAAAGGUAGGAGUGAUGGAGUAUAUGUAUUUGUAGCAAUUCACCAUCGUCCAUAAAUAAAUCAUCUUUGCCCCGCUUCCUCUGUCCAUCCAUCAACUCAAAUUGCUUUGGUUCACAAGUUCGUUUCAUCGUACAUCUAGGUACACUAGAACAGAGAGACUACUUUCCUUGAAUGGCUCAUGCGAGUAAACUGACAAUAGUGUUCAUCCAAGAUGCAGUUGUAUAUGUAUCUUCAUAGAGAUGUAGAUGCAUAGGUAGUUCAAUAGUGCACAUGUUCAUCGACAGGGAUGUAGAUGUAGUAUACAACCGAGGUUACAUUGACAAAUUAGUCCAUUAUGCUCCCAGGAAAAAUAAAAUAUGGUAUAUUGUUUCACUCUAUUAUAUUGUAAAUAUGAAAAAACAAUUGUCUCUGUUGCAACGCAUGACGAAUGUGAGGUGGGGUCUUACAGCGGGAAAUCGAGAGCGAAGGGGAGAGUCCAAUAGGAAAAGUGAAGGGUGCGUCAUGGGGUGGAGUGGAGUUUUUCUAUUGGGUUGGAAUGACAACUUUGUUUGAUAGUUGCCUGGGAUAGACAGUAACAUCUCAUCGUGCAACAUGAUUUAUCUUCCAUGUGAAUCCAUCGGUCGAUACAUCUUGUACGUUAUCCACAAAGGCACAUCGAUUAUCUAUUCUGGACCCUAUUCAUACAACACAACCGUUGGAGAUGGAAAAUCCGAGGCACUUAGUGAAAUCAAAAGGUUUUGUGAGAGAAUUCAAAGAAGCACUCAAAAUAAAGCUACCAGGAUAGCAUUCUGAUAUAUCAAAAUGGCAACGUUAUUCUCUAAUGGUAUUCCAACGAGCGUAGAUGGGUAAUUAAUUCAUAAUACAAACAUUUAUUUUUCUUAUCAUCAUAUUUAAUAUAAUAAUAAUUUUUCCAUUCUAUGCUCUUAUGGAAUGGUAAAGACUUGGCGAAGCCGGUUUGCACAACGAGUAUUUUCCGUUACACAUGUGCUUAGACCUUCCACGUGAAACAUAUACUUUUGCAGGAUGGGUAUGAGUUGAGGAAGCAACUUUUUAUUAUACUUUCUCAAACAUCAUGCAAAUGAAGCUAAAUACAACUUUCAUAUAUUGUGCGAGAAUCUCUUAAGCGCAUCAAGUAGAUCUCAAUAGUUUGUAAUAGAUUUUGAGUUGGAUCAUCACUUUAUAUAUAUUCAUUGUUAGAUUGCCAUUUUGUUAUCAGUUUAUAUUACAAGUGAAGUGGACUUCAAUUAUUAUGCAAUUGUGACCGUGUUAUAUUAUCGUAGCUGUGAAAUUUAGCAUGCAUUAUCUUUAUAUAACUUCAGCAAAAUAUUUCAGAAGCCCGUGGCAACCAGGUUUUUAUGUCCACCCACCAUAUUUUCUAGCCAGUUGGGGAACUGAGUGCGGUAGCGGUGCUAUGGGAGUGGUGGACAUGCAAUGAGGGAAGGACAAAGAAUAGAGGAUUAGGAAGGAUGGAUGGAGGUGUCGGAGCUGAGAGAAAAGAGGGAAAUACCGAAGGGAGCUGGCAUGGAAAGAAAGCGAAGUUGUGCCCCAAGGUUAGAGUGUGAUCGUGCUAUAAAUGUUACCUUUUAUCAAUGCCCGUGUUCACUCUCGAAGGCUCCACACAACCAUUGUGAAGGAAGAUGGCAAACUCAUUGAGGACAAUCAUUGUGGUGAUUUCUAAGCUCAAUUUCUGGUGGAGUAGUCUCGUGACAAAUUAAGAGGACAACCCAUGAGUAACUCAUAAAUUUAUAAAAUCACCUUGUUUUUUCAUGCAUAUUCAUGUUACCUACAAACGUUAGAUGUGAUUGAUUUAGGGAAGAAACAAUGGAAGAGAUGGUGGUUUUGCAAUGUAAAAUAUAUGUCUGAAUCAAGUAUUGUUUA
Long non-coding RNA from Triticum aestivum (bread wheat), 3624 nucleotides. RefSeq lists it as uncharacterized. The record is from RefSeq and is a predicted model, not a curated record. NCBI's taxonomy places the organism in Eukaryota, Viridiplantae, Streptophyta, Magnoliopsida, Poales, Poaceae. The transcript has 2 exons.